UUUCCGUAGGUGAACCGGCGGAAGGAUCAUUCAUAAUAAAGUGUUUUAUGGCACUUUUUAAAAACCCAUAUCCACCUUGUGUGCAAUGUUAGAUCUCGUCAAUCUUGGCGAGAUUUUUAUACAUCAACUCAUUCUUUAACUAAUUUGUCUGAAAAAUAUUAUGAAUACUUAAUUCAAAAUACAACUUUCAACAACGGAUCUCUUGGCUCUC
RNAcentral lists this unclassified non-coding RNA (211 nucleotides) under plant metagenome. Its description in RNAcentral is "partial contains small subunit ribosomal RNA, internal transcribed spacer 1, and 5.8S ribosomal RNA". The record is from RNAcentral.